RNAcentral lists this ribosomal RNA (497 nucleotides) under uncultured bacterium. Its description in RNAcentral is "partial 16S ribosomal RNA". It matches the Rfam family "Bacterial small subunit ribosomal RNA", at positions 28 to 507 of the family's 1533-position model. The record is from RNAcentral.
GAUGAACGCUGGCAGCGUGCCUAAUACAUGCAAGUCGAGCGAACGGACGAGAAGCUUGCUUCUCUGAUGUUAGCGGCGGACGGGUGAGUAACACGUGGAUAACCUACCUAUAAGACUGGGAUAACUUCGGGAAACCGGAGCUAAUACCGGAUAAUAUUUUGAACCGCAUGGUUCAAAAGUAAAAGACGGUCUUGCUGUCACUUAUAGAUGGAUCCGCGCUGCAUUAGCUAGUUGGUAAGGUAACGGCUUACCAAGGCAACGAUGCAUAGCCGACCUGAGAGGGUGAUCGGCCACACUGGAACUGAGACACGGUCCAGACUCCUACGGGAGGCAGCAGUAGGGAAUCUUCCGCAAUGGGCGAAAGCCUGACGGAGCAACGCCGCGUGAGUGAUGAAGGUCUUCGGAUCGUAAAACUCUGUUAUUAGAGAAGAACAUAUGUGUAAGUAACUGUGCACAUCUUGACGGUACCUAAUCAGAAAGCCACGGCUAACUACGUG